This 396-nucleotide ribosomal RNA is filed under the name uncultured bacterium. RNAcentral describes it as "partial 16S ribosomal RNA". It matches the Rfam family "Bacterial small subunit ribosomal RNA", at positions 523 to 918 of the family's 1533-position model. The record is from RNAcentral.
AUACGUAGGUGGCGAGCGUUGUCCGGAUUUACUGGGUGUAAAGGGCGAGUAGGCGGGCUUGCAAGUCAGAUGUGAAAUACCGAGGCUCAACUUCGGGGCUGCAUUUGAAACUGCGAGUCUUGAGUGAUGGAGAGGCAGGCGGAAUUCCCAGUGUAGCGGUAAAAUGCAUAGAUAUUGGGAAGAACACCAGUGGCGAAGGCGGCCUGCUGGACAUUAACUGACGCAGAGGAGCGAGAGUGUGGGGAGCAAACAGGAUUAGAUACCCUGGUAGUCCACACCGUAAACGAUGGAUACUAGGUGUGCGGGGACUGACCCCCUGCGUGCCGCAGUUAACACAAUAAGUAUUCCACCUGGGGAGUACGAUCGCAAGAUUGAAACUCAAAUGAAUUGACGGGG